AUUGAACGCUAGCGGCAGGCCUAACACAUGCAAGUCGCACGAGUGGCGGACGGGUGAGUAAUGUCUGGGCAACUGCCCGAUGGAGGGGGAUAACUCCUGGAAACGGUAGCUAAUACCGCAUACCAUCGGAUUUGCCCAGAUGGGAUUAGCUUGUAGGUGGGGUAACGGCUCACCUAGGCAACGAUCCCUAGCUGGUCUGCGAGGAUGAACAGCCACACUGGAACUGAGACACGGUCCAGACGUCAACGGGAGGCAGCAGUGGGGAAUAUUGCACAAUGUGCGCAAGCCUGAUGCAGCCAUGCCGCGUGUAUGAAGAAGGCCUUCGGGUUGUAAAGUACUUUCAGCGGGGAGGCGUUACCCGCAGAAGAAGCACCUGCUAACUCCGUGCCAGCAGCCGCGGUAAUAC
RNAcentral lists this ribosomal RNA (406 nucleotides) under uncultured bacterium. Its description in RNAcentral is "partial 16S ribosomal RNA". It matches the Rfam family "Bacterial small subunit ribosomal RNA", at positions 30 to 526 of the family's 1533-position model. The record is from RNAcentral.